RNAcentral lists this unclassified non-coding RNA (985 nucleotides) under Bombus terrestris (buff-tailed bumblebee). RNAcentral's name for it is "misc RNA ENSBTSG00005028532.1". Lineage: Eukaryota; Metazoa; Arthropoda; Insecta; Hymenoptera; Apidae. The record is from RNAcentral.
UAAUAAUCCGCCGUUUUACAUGUUCCUCGUUGGCCCGAUAUUUUCCUCCGUGGCCUUCUUUCUUCCGCACGGUUUAAUUAAAUUCCCGGCAAUUUGUGAACGCUUCCACGACCGAGACGCGCUCUUUUAGCCCUGAUUUUCUACCAAUAAAUCGACAUCGGGGUCGACGUCGAGUCGAACAUCACCAGCUAUUUUCACGCCCGGUUCCACACCCUCGCAUCCCAUGGACAUACGUCAACAAUAACGUUUUUCUUUCCGUUUCAACAACUACGCUCGUUGUGUUGACUUUACCCCUACCGAUGCCUGCCACCACUUUCCUACCCUCUUUUAUCCCGCUUGUGUCAUUCCCACCGGUGUACAUCGAUACCUUGCGCCCUCUUUGGCUCGCUGUGUGCCCUUCUCUCGAAGAACGAAGGAAGAGAAGAGCAUCUCACACAGGGUAUAUCGAUCGCAAGUGUUCGGAUUCGAUGAAAGAGAGGCCCAGGGCAAAUUGGUGCCGAGAUUAUAUCAACGCGGGUCGCGGCAGCAACCGUUUAAUUCGGCGCCUCAUUUGGACUCGAGCUGCCGGGGAAAAUUCGGUUCAAAGACCGCACGAAGCUGGCAGCGAGCAAUGAAUCUUUCAACGGUGGCUCCGUUCUAUCCUCUGCGUUUUAUUACAGCCCUGUCUGUCGGUCUUGUGCCGCUCCAAAGUGCCAAUUACGCAACCGAGGGCUCGAGAGGGCCCUUUCCGUGCUCGCGACCCGGCAAGAAGUUCGGCUUUUGGUCUGGGAUUCUUUUAAUCCUGGAAACAGGAUCUCCUGCAACUGAUUGGAAGAGCGAAGGAGCCAAAGGUUAAACGGAGAUUCGAGUCGGCGCAAUCGAAAGAAUAGAUCGAGGGUGUACCAUUCGCUUAUCGAGAUUUAGGAGAAAACGAUAGAUAUUGGUCGAUAAUUUUUCCAAACGAUAAGUCUCGUUGAUCUGUUAAAGGAACGUCGUAAAGUCAGAU